Molecule: unclassified non-coding RNA, 1613 nt
Filed under: Hevea brasiliensis (rubber tree)
Lineage: Eukaryota; Viridiplantae; Streptophyta; Magnoliopsida; Malpighiales; Euphorbiaceae
Source: RNAcentral
AUAUUUUUUUAGAAAACAUUUUUCUAGCUGCAAGUUAUUUUCUGCCAAAUAAAUGAAAGCUUAGUCUAGGAAUACGUUGGCAGUAACUAGGACUUAUUUUUUUCUCUUUUCAAGAGAAAACGCAAUGAAAGGAACCCAAGGGCAAAAGUCUGCCAAAACCAUCCUCUUGCAUUAACAGGAUCCACCCGUUUUGCUAGACGCCAUGCAUAUAUGGCCUCACAAAUAUGCGCUGUUGUAGCUAGAAGAAAUACUGUCCUUGUCAUCCACAUCGAACGGAAGACGAAAAGACUGAUAGCUCUGAAGAGCGGCACUGGUCCUGUAUCUGGUAAGUAAGCUGCACAGAAUAAUGUACCCAUCCCAAUCACACAAAACAGCCAUGCAUAUAUGGUAGGUCCAUCCAACAUUUUCCUUUUCCUGUCCUGCCAGUAGCAGAUGGUUGCAGCCAUGCCUUCCCGAGGAGUCACCAUUGGAACAUAGCCAAGCUCCUGCUUAGCUUUAAGGAAAGAGAAAUAAUGGGUCACACCAACCUUGUAUACUUCAGCUGGAAGGAUAAAUGGCUGAGGAAGCCACCAUCUAUUCAACCAGGGAUACAAGAGUGUAUAGAUAGCCUGGAAAAUCUUUCCUAGAAUGAGAGCAUGGGGUACAGUUAAAGAAGCUGUUGGCAGAUCAUAAUCUAGACUUCUGAGAAGGGGUCGGAGGAAUUCAAAACUGUUGAUUGGAGAUCCAUCAGAUAUAAAGUAUGGCUGUCCAGCAGCUACAGGAUGUUCUCCAGUCAUGGGAAUGUCAUCCAAGAGUCCCAUGCUUGCCAAUAUCAGUGCAAGCACAAGGUUAUCUACAUAAACCCAGUCAGUCUUCACAUUUGCAUCACCGAUUAUGAAAGGCAGCAGACCCAACUUUGCAAAGGACAUGAUCCUUGGAAAGUGUCUUUCUUCACCUGGCCCAUAUAUAGCAGCUGGACGAAUUGCACAUGUAUAAAAACGUUUUCCGUUAUUCUUCUUCAGAGGACGGCCGUUGUACUUCAGAACCAACUGUUCAGCAAUUGAUUUGCUACUUCCAUAUGGAUCAACAUGGUCAUCAAUUGGGAAGUAAGGCAAGGCUUCAUUGCCAUUCACAAUCUCCUUUCCCCCAAAGACGACAUUAUAUGUGCUCACAUAAACAAGCCUUUUGAUCCCAAACUCAAUGCAUGCUUCCAGAAUAUGGCAGGUUCCAUUUAUAUUCACCUCAUCAAUGCGGCCAAACUGCAGCAUUUCUUUCCCUGACAUGCCAAAUGAAGCAAGAUGGAAGACACAAUCCACACCACGUAAAGCUUUUUCAACAUCUCUUUUGUAGGUGAGAUCCCCUUGAAUGCACUGAACUCCAUGAGUAGUGAGUUUGUGAGACCAAGAAGAAUUGAGACGAAGGUCAAAGGCUCGGACCUGGCGAGCACCUCUGCGGACCAGCUCCAGACAGAGUGCGGAGCCGACGAAGCCCAGCCCACCAGUCACCACGAAGGUGUUGCCUUCUAUCCCUUCGUUUUCGCUCAAGUGCAUUUUCAAGAUUUAUUAUUUUUCUCUCUUUCUGCCUUUCUUUUGAUGGAAGAUGCACUCUGGGCUGCGUCUAGAGGGAGGAGGCUG